AAGGAUUUAAGUUAAUUAAACUCACAGCCUUCAAAGCUGUAAAUAAAGGAAAGAGCUUUAAGCCUUA
RNAcentral lists this transfer RNA (67 nucleotides) under Hydrocolus stagnalis. Its description in RNAcentral is "tRNA-Trp". RNAcentral also lists the same sequence under 1 other name. The record is from RNAcentral. Lineage: Eukaryota; Metazoa; Arthropoda; Insecta; Coleoptera; Dytiscidae.